This is a non-coding RNA of Chiloscyllium plagiosum (whitespotted bambooshark), 778 nucleotides long. NCBI's taxonomy places the organism in Eukaryota, Metazoa, Chordata, Chondrichthyes, Orectolobiformes, Hemiscylliidae. The record is from RefSeq and is a predicted model, not a curated record.
CCUCACUUUGACUCAACCUCGAACACCUGCGCGGUGGGCGGGCAGGCAUCAAAGGGGGUCACCUAGCUUGUACAAGCUUUAAUAAAUUGUUUGCAGAAGUUGGGGUGUGCGAACUGCAUCUCGUGUGGAAAAUAACCAAAUAUAUGAUGGCAUCAGUGGGAUUCUAACAUACACUGAGCUUCCAGACGACCCCUCGUCUCCUGGGACUCGAUGGUGAUGGAAUCUUUGAGGUAACACACACACUUGCACACCAAUGCUUUGCGCGAAGCCAGGUUUUAAAAAGGGGCAAAUCGGGGUUAGAGUCCUCCAGAAAUACUUUUAGGCAACAUGGCGUCACCAGAAAAAAGGGGAGAAAGUGGAGCCGAUCCCUCGGGUACCGACAAUAAAGUGCACUGACUGCUGGGGAAGCUUUGUCCGGGUUUUUGAGAUGUGAACUCGACUCUGCAAGCCUUUGUUCUGGGACAAAGUGUGGCUUGGACUGUGGCGCCAUGUGCUCUGCUGCAAGGUUUUGUCUGUAGGUGUGAUUUCGUCGUGAGGGUACGGCUGGUCUUUCUUCACGGCCGCUUCCGGUAGUGGACUGGCGUUCCUCGGUCUAGUUCCGUUUCCAUCGAGGUAAAGCAUGCUGUUGGACCACCGCCUACCCCUCCACAACCUGAUCCAACUGAUUCAAAUCAGCUCCCCAGUCAUGAGCAUGAAAAGCAAAGAAGCUAACAACACAGUGAUGAUGUUUUUUGUCAGUGGCCUUCUUAUGGACAUUAAACCACAUGAGCUUUACUUU